GUACUCUCUUGGGCAGCUCGCAUAUUAACACUGGAAAGAUAGAGAAUAUCUAUCUUAUCUACAGAUUAGCAUGGCCCCUGCGCAAGGAUGACACCCAAAUUCAUGCAGAUGCAGAAAAGAAA
Molecule: small nuclear RNA, 122 nt
Organism: Ursus americanus (American black bear)
Lineage: Eukaryota; Metazoa; Chordata; Mammalia; Carnivora; Ursidae
Source: Ensembl